Molecule: transfer RNA, 72 nt
Filed under: Camelus bactrianus (Bactrian camel)
Lineage: Eukaryota; Metazoa; Chordata; Mammalia; Artiodactyla; Camelidae
Also listed under: 2 other names
Rfam family: tRNA
About the family: Transfer RNA (tRNA) molecules are approximately 80 nucleotides in length. Their secondary structure includes four short double-helical elements and three loops (D, anti-codon, and T loops).
Source: Rfam by way of RNAcentral
GAGGGUAUAGCUCAGUGGUAGAGUACAUGCUUAGCAUGGACAAGGUCCUGGGUUCGAUCCCCAGUACUGCCA